Long non-coding RNA from Theobroma umbraticum, 299 nucleotides. RefSeq lists it as uncharacterized. Lineage: Eukaryota; Viridiplantae; Streptophyta; Magnoliopsida; Malvales; Malvaceae. The record is from RefSeq and is a predicted model, not a curated record.
AGUCUUGACUAAAUUUUUUCGGUGGUUAGGUCCUCCUAAUCAUAGCAUGUUAUUAGGUUCUACAGUUCACCAGGGCCAUACAUAUAUCAAACAAUAAACUAUUAUUUGCACGAAUCGCGCUCUCUUGCUAUACUGGAAAGCAAUGACGGAGGGAAUGCGUCAGCAGACCCGACGGCGUUGCUUAAUUGGGCUGGCUUGUUUUCCAGGCCGAAUUUCCUUCAAAGUCAAUUGGAUCGGAGCUCAAUUGGGCUGACUUUACUCUUUGGACUCUUCACUGAAGUGGGUUGUUGGAUUAUGCG